This 164-nucleotide small nuclear RNA is filed under the name Gambusia affinis (western mosquitofish). Its description in RNAcentral is "U2 spliceosomal RNA (ENSGAFG00000003679.1)". It matches the Rfam family "U2 spliceosomal RNA". From Rfam's summary of the family: U2 is a small nuclear RNA (snRNA) component of the spliceosome (involved in pre-mRNA splicing). Complementary binding between U2 snRNA (in an area lying towards the 5' end but 3' to hairpin I) and the branchpoint sequence (BPS) of the intron results the bulging out of an unpaired adenosine, on the BPS, which initiates a nucleophilic attack at the intronic 5' splice site, thus starting the first of two transesterification reactions that mediate splicing. Lineage: Eukaryota; Metazoa; Chordata; Actinopteri; Cyprinodontiformes; Poeciliidae. The record is from RNAcentral.
AAAUAUUUUUAAAAUAAAAUAAAAUUCUGUUGUUAUCAGUUUAAUAUCUGAUAGUUCCCUAUAUUAAAUUGAUUUUUGGAACAAGGAGCUGGAAUUGGGGCUUGCCUCGUCCACUCCAUGCAUUGACCUGGUAUUGCAGAAUCUCCAGGAACAGUGCUCCUCCA